GUAACACAGGUGAGGAAACAUGAAGGAAGUUCUCCUCGGGGUUUAGCCUCAGCUUGCUGGGAGGUUACUCUAUCAAUCAACUACUUCACUAGUCAGUCUCUGUACUUCUCUCAAUAAACAUUGAUUCGUGUCAGUAAAGUGUCUUGCACUGCUAAGACCUAGAGGAAAAAAAGAAGGAGAUAGAAGCUUUCUGGAGAAGACUGCUCAGUGGUCUGCUGGGAAGGCACGGAUGUACCACAUGGACCAUUAGAUUGCAUCUGACAAAGGCACAUCAGUGGGGAUGUACACUCUCUCACCCAGGGCUGAGGGAAUGUAUGAAACCCACAGAAGACGAGGAACCAAGUACAUCGGGGAUGACUCCUUGAUUUCUUAACCGGGCUCCAUCACUGGCUGCUUAUGUAACCCAGGCAAGACCUUCUUUGAAGCCAAUCACAUUCCGUGAUUAUGGAUUUUUUAAUCUAAUCAUAGUCCAUGAAUAUCCCAAUUUUCAUUUUCCCACCAAUUGCACCACGCUGCUGGAUCACAAGAUUAGACGACCAGGAACUCUGGCUGGAAGACAG
Molecule: long non-coding RNA, 560 nt
Organism: Bos taurus (domestic cattle)
Lineage: Eukaryota; Metazoa; Chordata; Mammalia; Artiodactyla; Bovidae
Source: Ensembl